CAUCAAUUUUUUUUAAAAUGACUACCUUGCUCUUUCCCUGUGGGGACCCCGUGUGCAAUGGUUGCAAACAGUAGCCUCCUUGGUAGUGUAUGCAGCCUGUUGAUGUCUGACCUCAUGCUAUCUCCAGUCUAGGCUCCGCACCGGGACGCGGGGUGCCUUU
RNAcentral lists this small nucleolar RNA (160 nucleotides) under Ursus americanus (American black bear). RNAcentral describes it as "Small nucleolar RNA SNORA70". It matches the Rfam family "Small nucleolar RNA SNORA70". From Rfam's summary of the family: snoRNA U70 seems to be exclusive to mammals and is a member of the H/ACA class of snoRNA which contain H (ANANNA) and ACA box motifs. H/ACA box snoRNAs are involved in the conversion of uridines to pseudouridines (5-ribosyluracil) a constituent of structural RNAs (transfer, ribosomal, small nuclear, and small nucleolar). RNAcentral also lists the same sequence under 2 other names. The record is from Rfam by way of RNAcentral. Lineage: Eukaryota; Metazoa; Chordata; Mammalia; Carnivora; Ursidae.